GGUAAAAUUCUGGCACCUAUCCACAGCCUGAACCUUGGAGAACACCUCCCUUUCAUAUGACUUCUGCAAAGGGCGUGUUUCAGCUCACAGGGACAAAGAGUCACUGCACCAGAGAACCAGAAAGAGUUACAGACACGGCUCACAGGCUUAAGCGUCUUGCUGUAGGUCAUACGGCAGGUUAAUGACAACACUGGGGCAAGAACACAGGUUACGCUCGUCCUGGGGAAGGCUCCCACACCAAGCUACACACUUCUGCAAUGCUGUUCCAGAUGUGAAAAUCCGCUAAGACAAAUAGGUCACAAAAACACCAUGGGAAACGAUGAUGUCUUUUCCUUUUUGUUAUCUUGAUAAAGCUUCAUACAUGUCUGGAUUCUGAUUGAUACACAAAAGCUGCAUUCCCACAUCAAGGGAACUCCGAGUGUUCACCCUCCGUGGUAAGGGGAGACUGGGAGACCCCACAAAAGCAUCCCAAGAGAGGAAGAGUCCCUUUACACACCUGCUGCCCCGUGUGUGGAUGCCCACUGAGCACGGAAGUUGUCAAGGACAAAAGGAGGAACUAGCCCACCAAGCAGGUUUAAAGGGAGUGUCGGACACAAAAAUGACAUGCCCCAUAUUGCAGUCUAGAAGGAACAACACGGUGAAUUGUCUACUGCAGAACACUUCACUCUGUCUCGAUUACUACAUGGUGAAUUGAAGUUCCAGUAGAGAGGGAGUUGAGCUGAUACUGAGGAGAUAAAUACCCAUCACUGUAUACAUCUACUUCUUGGAAUUUGCAAGGGAACCAGUCAACAGAUUUUUCAAGCCUUAUAAGUUUAUCUGCCUGAGAAGUUCACCAGCUACAUAACAUCCUGGACUCUGGAGCCCAAGAGAUGUGUAGUUUCCAUUUUGGAGCCAUUUUCUUUGAUAAAUAAGUAGUGAGGCUGCCAUUCUUGUCAAAGUUGAGGACCACAACCUUACUCAUGAAACUGAAAGAUUGUUUGUUAUGAGGAGUUCUGUUUGAGCCAUACAAGCAAUAUAUCCUUUUUAAAGAAAUGUAUCCGGAAUCUUAGGUGUUCAUUGCUCCAAGCCAUGUGCAGAAUAAAAAGAAAACAAAAAACAAAAA
RNAcentral lists this long non-coding RNA (1102 nucleotides) under Homo sapiens (human). RNAcentral describes it as "HSALNT0300186". Lineage: Eukaryota; Metazoa; Chordata; Mammalia; Primates; Hominidae. The record is from RNAcentral.